GACGAACGCUGGCGGCGUGCCUAAUACAUGCAAGUCGAACGCACUCUCGUUUAGAUUGAAGGAGCUUGCUCCUGAUUGAUAAACAUUUGAGUGAGUGGCGGACGGGUGAGUAACACGUGGGUAACCUGCCCUAAAGUGGGGGAUAACAUUUGGAAACAGAUGCUAAUACCGCAUAAAACCUAAACACCGCAUGGUGUAGGGUUGAAAGAUGGUUUCGGCUAUCACUUUAGGAUGGACCCGCGGUGCAUUAGUUAGUUGGUGAGGUAAAGGCUCACCAAGACCGUGAUGCAUAGCCGACCUGAGAGGGUAAUCGGCCACACUGGGACUGAGACACGGCCCAGACUCCUACGGGAGGCAGCAGUAGGGAAUCUUCCACAAUGGACGAAAGUCUGAUGGAGCAACGCCGCGUGAGUGAAGAAGGUUUUCGGAUCGUAAAACUCUGUUGUUGGAGAAGAAUGUAUCUGAUAGUAACUGAUCAGGUAGUGACGGUAUCCAACCAGAAAG
Molecule: ribosomal RNA, 504 nt
Filed under: uncultured bacterium
Lineage: Bacteria
Description: bacterial SSU rRNA
Rfam family: Bacterial small subunit ribosomal RNA
Source: RNAcentral